ACACGAUCAACUCUAGUUAAGAGUUGGAACUGGCCUCAUGUGCUGCUUUGCAUAUUUGGUUUGAAUAUAUUGAGUUGAUGAGCCUCCCAAUGUUGCUCAAUGUGUGCUAGCGAGACAGUCGUCCCGAUCUCACAUUAAAGCUUUGUUGCAGGGCUCUGUACACAACUUUUGUUUUCAUUAUCAA
RNAcentral lists this unclassified non-coding RNA (184 nucleotides) under uncultured Rozellomycota. Its description in RNAcentral is "uncultured Cryptomycota sequence contains ITS2". The record is from RNAcentral. Lineage: Eukaryota; Fungi; Rozellomycota.